This 591-nucleotide long non-coding RNA is filed under the name Homo sapiens (human). Its description in RNAcentral is "long independently transcribed non-coding RNA 2837, transcript variant 2 (LINC02837)". Lineage: Eukaryota; Metazoa; Chordata; Mammalia; Primates; Hominidae. The record is from RNAcentral.
AUUCCUGGGAGGUGUCUGGGAAGCACAUCGCAGUGUGCACCGCAGCAGGGCUUGAUCCACCACAUCACAUUCCGCGCUCGCUGCUGCCUGAACUCAUCAAAGUGGACCCAGUGAAAGCUGUGUUGAGGAGGACUAUUCUGGUGCUGAGGCUGGGUACAUUCAUGAGGCCAGGAACACGGGAUUGAAUUCCAAGCAGAGCACCAGGAUACCUGUAGCAGAAAUCCAGCAACACAAAAUGGACUAAGACACCCAGCAAGCCCCAGGAGCAUCAAGGAAGCAGGCAUGAGGUACCUGCUGGGCCCACCGUGCUCACUGCUUUCUCACUGCGUCUGGAGGUCCUGAGUUCACAACAAUGAGAAGUUUUGAGCUGGAUAAAACUGUUCAUUUAUGGAGCAUAUUGGAAAAGGAGGGAUCACACAUGUCUCAGAAACAAUGGGAUGCAUUUCCUGUUUGGUAGAGGGAGGCUUCUAAAAGGUUGAUUGGUUACAAAAUUGCCUCUCUAAAAGACUCCUUUCUAAAGGCAAAUAAGGAAACUGAAAAGCUUAAGAGAUGAAUUAAAGACGAAAAUAAAAAUAAUUAUAUGGUAACUGA